AGCCCAACAGCUAGCCUAAACAACCAAAAACAACAACUAAACAUAAAUAAACCCUAACACACCCAACAAUCCCAAACAAACCAUUUUACCCCUUUAGUAUAGGCGAUAGAAAAG
RNAcentral lists this ribosomal RNA (114 nucleotides) under Amanses scopas (broom filefish). RNAcentral's name for it is "partial 16S ribosomal RNA". The record is from RNAcentral. Lineage: Eukaryota; Metazoa; Chordata; Actinopteri; Tetraodontiformes; Monacanthidae.